Molecule: transfer RNA, 75 nt
Filed under: Clostridium thermosuccinogenes
Lineage: Bacteria; Bacillati; Bacillota; Clostridia; Eubacteriales; Clostridiaceae
Description: Pseudoclostridium thermosuccinogenes tRNA-Arg
Rfam family: tRNA
About the family: Transfer RNA (tRNA) molecules are approximately 80 nucleotides in length.
Source: RNAcentral
GUCCCGGUGGCCUAAUGGAUAAGGUAAUGGAUUCCGGUUCCAUUGAUGCGGGUUCGAUUCCUGCCCGGGACGCCA